This 317-nucleotide ribosomal RNA is filed under the name uncultured bacterium. RNAcentral's name for it is "bacterial SSU rRNA". It matches the Rfam family "Bacterial small subunit ribosomal RNA", at positions 28 to 334 of the family's 1533-position model. The record is from RNAcentral.
GACGAACGCUGGCGGCGUGCCUAAUACAUGCAAGUCGAGCGAAUCUGAUAAAAGCUUGCUUUUUGAAGAUUAGCGGCGGACGGGUGAGUAACACGUGGGCAACCUGCCUGUAAGACUGGGAUAACUUCGGGAAACCGGAGCUAAUACCGGAUAAUAUAAAGAACCUCCUGGUUCUUUAUUGAAAGAUGGUUUCGGCUAUCACUUACAGAUGGGCCCGCGGCGCAUUAGCUAGUUGGUGAGGUAACGGCUCACCAAGGCGACGAUGCGUAGCCGACCUGAGAGGGUGAUCGGCCACACUGGGACUGAGACACGGCCAG